UGAAUACGAGACGCUACGGCGUCGAAGCAGUCUAUGUCAUACUUCCAAGAAAAGCUCGCAAUGUCAUAAACAAAUAAUGCCUGUACCAUAACCGACACAGGUGGGUAGGUAGAGUAUACUAAGGGGCGCGAGAUAACUCUCUCUAAGGAACUCGGCAAAAUGACUCCGUAACUUCGGGAGAAGGAGUGCCUUAUUUAUAAGGUUGCAAUAACAAGAUCCAAGCAACUGUUUAUCAAAAACACAGGUCUCCGCUAAGUCGUAAGACGAUGUAUGGGGGCUGACGCCUGCCCAGUGCCAGAAGGUUAAAGAAGUUGGUUAGCAUUCGCGAAGCUGAUAACUGAAGCCCUGGUGAACGGCGGCCGUAACAAUAACGGUCCUAAGGUAGCGAAAUUCCUUGUCGGGUAAGUUCCGACCCGCACGAAAGGCGUAAUGAUUUGGAUACUGUCUCGGAGAGGGGCUCGGUGAAAUAGACUUGUCUGUGGAGAUGCGGACUACCUGCACCUGGACAGAAAGACCCUAUGAAGCUUUACUGUAACUUGAAAUUGAAAUUGGACUUUAUUUGCGCAGCAUAGGUGGGAGGCGUUGAGAGUAUUCUUGCGGGAAUAUUGGAGCCAUCAGUGAGAUACCACUCUUGUAAUGUUAGAUUUCUAACUUUGGAUCAUUAUCUGGUCAAAGAACAGUUUCAGGCGGGCAGUUUGACUGGGGCGGUCGCCUCCCAAAUGGUAACGGAGGCGUACAAAGGUUUCCUCUGAACGGGUAGAAAUCGUAUCUAGAGUGUAAAGGCAUAAGGAAGCUUGACUGUGAGACCUACAAGUCGAGCAGGGACGAAAGUCGGUCUUAGUGAUCUGACGGUGCUGAGUGGAAAGGCCGUCACUCAACGGAUAAAAGUUACUCUAAGGAUAACAGGCUGAUCUCCCCCAAGAGUUCACAUCGACGGGGAGGUUUGGCACCUCGAUGUCGGCUCAUCGCAUCCUGGGGCGGUAGUACGUCCCAAGGGUUGGGCUGUUCGCCCAUGAAAGCGGUACGCGAGCUGGGUUCAGAACGUCGUGAGACAGUUCGGUCCAUAUCCGGUGUAGGCGUUAGAAUAUUGAGAGGAGCCUUCUUUAGUACGAGAGGACCGAGAAGGACAUACCUCUGGUGUACCAGUUAUCGUGCCAACGGUAAACGCUGGGUAGCUAUGUAUGGAGAGGAUAACCGCUGAAAGCAUCUAAGUGGGAAGCCCACCUCAAGAUAAG
This 1235-nucleotide ribosomal RNA is filed under the name metagenome. RNAcentral's name for it is "bacterial LSU rRNA". It matches the Rfam family "Bacterial large subunit ribosomal RNA", at positions 1564 to 2808 of the family's 2925-position model. The record is from RNAcentral.